AGGGAAAGUUGCAAAGCACUUUGAAGAGAGAGUUAAAGAGGACGUGAAACCGAUAAGAUGGAAACGGAUAGAGCUAGCGUAUCUAGCUUGUAUUCAGCUGCUCUCGCAUGGGUAGCUUGUCUUCCAAUCCAGACUUUGGUUGGUUGGCUUGUGUCACUUGUGUGUGAGCAGUGCACUUGCAAGUGGAGUGCGCUGAGGCGUAUGGAUUGGCGGUUUGAAGUGCGCCCUGAGGAUACCUUUGUGUAAAACCCAGGCGUACCUAGAGCUGUUCGGUCUGUAUGUAAAGAGCAUGGCCUGACGGGCUGGGGCUCUGCCGAGUAAGUCAUUGGUAACGGUCGCAUGCGACACGUGCCAUUUGCUUGCUCGGUUGGGUUCUGGUUCACUUGCUCACCCUCGGUGUAAAAGCUAGUCAUCUAUCCGACCCGUCUUGAAACACGGACCAAGGAGUUUAGCGUAUACGCGAGUCAUUGAGUGAAAAACUUAAAGGCGUAAUGAAAGUGAAUGCUUCUUUUGGAGCUGAUAUGUGACCCUGUGCACUUCGGUGCCCAGGAGCAGCAUAGCCCCGUCCUAAUCGCUUGCGAUGGGGCGGAGGUAGAGCGUAUUCGCUGAGACCCGAAAGAUGGUGAACUAUUCCUGAGCAGGAUGAAGCCAGUGGAAACUCUGGUGGAAGUCCGAAGCGGUUCUGACGUGCAAAUCGAUCGUCUGACU
Molecule: ribosomal RNA, 708 nt
Filed under: Atetylenchus sp. 2 CCN-2019
Lineage: Eukaryota; Metazoa; Nematoda; Chromadorea; Rhabditida; Tylenchidae
Description: partial large subunit ribosomal RNA
Rfam family: Eukaryotic large subunit ribosomal RNA
Source: RNAcentral